This 588-nucleotide unclassified non-coding RNA is filed under the name Stachybotrys chlorohalonatus. RNAcentral's name for it is "Stachybotrys chlorohalonata sequence contains 18S rRNA gene, ITS1, 5.8S rRNA gene, ITS2, 28S rRNA gene". The stretch from base 206 to 359 matches the Rfam family "5.8S ribosomal RNA". The record is from RNAcentral. Lineage: Eukaryota; Fungi; Ascomycota; Sordariomycetes; Hypocreales; Stachybotryaceae.
AGUCGUAACAAGGUCUCCGUUGGUGAACCAGCGGAGGGAUCAUUACCGAGUUUACAACUCCCAAACCCUUAUGUGAACCGUACCUAUCGUUGCUUCGGCGGGAACGCCCCGGCGCCCUGCGCCCGGAUCCAGGCGCCCGCCGGAGACCCCAAACUCUUGUGUUUUUUUCAGUAUUCUCUGAGUGGCAAACGCAAAAAUAAAUCAAAACUUUUAACAACGGAUCUCUUGGCUCUGGCAUCGAUGAAGAACGCAGCGAAAUGCGAUAAGUAAUGUGAAUUGCAGAAUUCAGUGAAUCAUCGAAUCUUUGAACGCACAUUGCGCCCGUUAGCAUUCUAGCGGGCAUGCCUGUCCGAGCGUCAUUUCAACCCUCAGGGUCCCCGUUCCGGCGGGGAACCUGGUGUUGGGGAUCGGCCCGCCCCGUGCGGCGCCGUCCCCCAAAUUCAGUGGCGGUCUCGCUGCAGCCUCCCCUGCGUAGUAGUUACAACCUCGCAUCGGAGCUCAGCGCGGCCACGCCGUAAAACCCCCGACUUUCUGAACGUUGACCUCGGAUCAGGUAGGAAUACCCGCUGAACUUAAGCAUAUCAAUAA